Molecule: non-coding RNA, 974 nt
Organism: Chelonoidis abingdonii (Abingdon island giant tortoise)
Lineage: Eukaryota; Metazoa; Chordata; Testudines; Testudinidae
Source: RefSeq, a predicted model, not a curated record
AAAACUUCUUCAUAUAAAGAAUAUUUCUUCUCCCAACCUGCCCUGCCUCACACCUACGGUACCCCGCAGCAACAGGAGAGCUCAGUGACAUGAAAAGUUAUCCCUGCUGGGGCCCCACAAAAAAUGUUCAAAUAGGGCCCCACACUUCCUAAAGUCGGCCCUGCCAGUUCAGCUCAGAAGCUCCAGAAAUCCCAACAAGAACAGACUGGCUGCCUCCUGUAGGCAAGACUUGAAAGCCAGACGCCUAGUGUGAUGGAAACAAAUAGAAGGCGCAGAAGCUGUGACAGCCAAGUAAUUUGCAUCAACACAGAUGCACAGACUGCUCACUUAAAGAAUCAGAAUGGAGACAUUCCUGUUCCAACAUCAUUGUCUUCCCAACCAACUGGCCAAACGCAGCCACUUGGUUGUAGAGCUGCUCAACUUUCUUAACAGCUCUUUCUCCAUCUGAGACCUUUUCAAAGCUAUCCACACUGGCUCUUUCAAAAGGAAAAGUGGAACAUGACAACAGCGAAGACAACGACAGCAGAGACACCUCCGAAGAAAUGCCCUAGAGCCCUUGGGCUGUCACGCUUCAGGAAUGUGUGUGAGGUACUAGGAGACUUGGAGAUGGGAAGUGUCCUGCUGGCUGUAGCCACUUUCGAUCUCCUGGCUUCUACCCCUUACCCUGCUGGCAGGGCAUUGUGCAGCACCCUUUCCAGCCCACCUGGGUGCAGGAGAUCGAGGAAGAGAGCAUCUGCCAUCUAGCUCCAUCCCAUCUAGAGCAAAGCCCCGCAGUGCCCAGCAGAAGUGGGCUGAGGAGGAGGAAGAGGAGUGGGUUGAGGAAGAGGAGGAGGAAGAAGAGAAGGAGGAAGAGGAUGUGUCCCCUGAACAAGACACCAUCAGGGUCACCCAGGAGCACCUCCAGGGCAGAGCUGAGGUACAAAAAUCUUCCAGCUGUGCUGCCCCCCGAGUCUGUCCUGCCCCUUGUUCCAGCC